This 252-nucleotide ribosomal RNA is filed under the name uncultured bacterium. RNAcentral describes it as "partial 16S ribosomal RNA". It matches the Rfam family "Bacterial small subunit ribosomal RNA", at positions 524 to 776 of the family's 1533-position model. The record is from RNAcentral.
UACGAAGGGGGCUAGCGUUGCUCGGAAUCACUGGGCUUAAAGGGUGCGUAGGCGGCGCGGAAGUUGGGUGUGAAAUCCCUCGGCUCAACCGAGGAACUGCGCCCAAAACUGCCGUGCUCGAGGGAGAUAGAGGUGAGCGGAACUUAGGGUGGAGCGGUGAAAUGCGUUGAUAUCCUAAGGAACACCGGUGGCGAAAGCGGCUCACUGGAUCUCUUCUGACGCUGAGGCACGAAAGCUAGGGUAGCGAACGGG